ACAACAUGAUGUGGACAUUUCCGUAGAAGGUCCUUCAUCCUAUCCCAAGUUUCAUGAAAGGGUUCUCCCUUUAUUUGUGAAAAACCUGUUAUGGCUUUCCGUAUUU
Molecule: small nucleolar RNA, 106 nt
Organism: Alnus glutinosa
Lineage: Eukaryota; Viridiplantae; Streptophyta; Magnoliopsida; Fagales; Betulaceae
Source: RefSeq, a predicted model, not a curated record